This 30-nucleotide non-coding RNA is filed under the name Mus musculus (house mouse). Lineage: Eukaryota; Metazoa; Chordata; Mammalia; Rodentia; Muridae. The record is from RNAcentral.
UGAUGGUGGAAAAUGUGUUUUUCUAUUGGG